Molecule: ribosomal RNA, 433 nt
Filed under: uncultured bacterium
Lineage: Bacteria
Description: partial 16S ribosomal RNA
Rfam family: Bacterial small subunit ribosomal RNA
Source: RNAcentral
AGCGAACGCUGGCGGCAGGCCUAACACAUGCAAGUCGAACGGAGCCUUCGGGAUUAGUGGCGGACGGGUGAGUAACACGUGGGAACGUGCCCUUUGGUUCGGAACAACUCAGGGAAACUUGAGCUAAUACCGGAUGUGCCCUUCGGGGGAAAGAUUUAUCGCCAUUGGAGCGGCCCGCGUCUGCUUAGCUAGUUGGUGAGGUAACGGCCCACCAAGGCGACGAUCAGUAGCUGGUCUGAGAGGAUGAUCAGCCACACUGGGACUGAGACACGGCCCAGACUCCUACGGGAGGCAGCAGUGGGGAAUCUUGCGCAAUGGGCGAAAGCCUGACGCAGCCAUGCCGCGUGAAUGAUGAAGGUCUUAGGAUUGUAAAAUUCUUUCAGCGGGGACGAUAAUGACGGUACCCGCAGAAGAAGCUCCGGCUAACUUCGUG